This 89-nucleotide small RNA is filed under the name Salmonella enterica. Its description in RNAcentral is "partial RtT sRNA". It matches the Rfam family "RtT RNA", at positions 43 to 130 of the family's 130-position model. Rfam says of the family: This family represents a bacterial cis-regulatory element known as RtT RNA. The exact function of RtT is unknown although it is thought that it may be involved in changing the cellular response in relation to amino acid starvation. Lineage: Bacteria; Pseudomonadati; Pseudomonadota; Gammaproteobacteria; Enterobacterales; Enterobacteriaceae. RNAcentral also lists the same sequence under 1 other name. The record is from RNAcentral.
UCGAUUCGAGCGCAGCGAGAACGCGUUGCCGCAGGCAACGACCCGAAGGGCGAAGCGCGCAGCGCUGAGUCAUCCUUCCCCCACCACCA